This 85-nucleotide transfer RNA is filed under the name Felis catus (domestic cat). It matches the Rfam family "tRNA". From Rfam's summary of the family: Transfer RNA (tRNA) molecules are approximately 80 nucleotides in length. Their secondary structure includes four short double-helical elements and three loops (D, anti-codon, and T loops). Lineage: Eukaryota; Metazoa; Chordata; Mammalia; Carnivora; Felidae. RNAcentral also lists the same sequence under 5 other names. The record is from Rfam by way of RNAcentral.
GCCUGGGUGGCUCAGUCGGUUGAGCAUCUGACUUUGGCUCAGGUCAAAAUCUCAUGGUUUGUGAGUUCAAGCCCCACACUGGGCU